GAGGGCCGUAUUUAUUAGAUAACAGACCAAUAUUCCUCGUGUCUAUUGUGGUGAAUCAUAGUAACUAAUCGGAUCGCAUGGGCUUCGCCCGCGACAAACCAUUCAAGUUUCUGCCCCAUCAGCUUUCGAUGGUAGUGUAUUGGACUACCAUGGCUUUUACGGGUAACGGAGGAUUAGGGUUCGAUUCCGGAGAGGGAGCCUGAGAAACGGCUACCACAUCUAAGGAAGGCAGCAGGCGCGUAAAUUACCCAAUUCUGAUUCAGAGAGGUAGUG
RNAcentral lists this ribosomal RNA (273 nucleotides) under uncultured Spirotrichea. RNAcentral describes it as "partial small subunit ribosomal RNA". It matches the Rfam family "Eukaryotic small subunit ribosomal RNA", at positions 196 to 469 of the family's 1831-position model. The record is from RNAcentral. Lineage: Eukaryota; Ciliophora; Spirotrichea.